Helicoverpa armigera (cotton bollworm) is the source of this 2875-nucleotide RNA transcript. It is a transcript of the gene named sideroflexin-1-3-like, with no coding region annotated. NCBI's taxonomy places the organism in Eukaryota, Metazoa, Arthropoda, Insecta, Lepidoptera, Noctuidae. The transcript has 12 exons. The record is from RefSeq and is a predicted model, not a curated record.
GAUUUUAUUUUAGACUAGCUGAUCCCGCGAACUUCGUAUCGUUUAAACCUUCCCUGGACCUCUACAAACAUUUUAAAACCAAGAAAAGCCAAAUCGGUCCAGCCAUUCUGCAGUUUUAGUAGGACUAACGAACAGCAAUUAAUUUUUAUAUAUAAGAUUUUUUAAACAAAAUUUUUCAAAUAUGUAAGUCUGGAACUAUUGGAAAUAUUAACAACGACACAGGCCUCUUCUCAUGCAGAGAAGGGUCAGUGGGUCGUUUUAGGGGGAAUGAGCGUUCGUUAGCGGAAUCACCACGCUUGCUCCAGGUGGAAUAGCGACUUCGGACAUUAAAGCCCAGUGGCUAUGACGACGCCGCCGAUAGACCUGGACAAGCCCCGGUGGGAUCAGAACACCUACUGGGGGCGGGUCAAACACUUCAUAUUGCUCACUAAUCCGUUAAACGUGUUCACUAGUGAAGCUAAACUUGAUGAGGCCAAGAGAGUCGUAUCUGAGUACAGGGAAACAAAAAAGAUGCCCUUCGGUUACACCGAAGACAAACUAUGGGCGAUGAAGUAUUUAUACGACAGCGCGUACCACCCCGACACUGGGGAGAAGAUGGUCAGGAUCGGCCGCAUGUCCGCGCAGGCGCCUAUGAGCACACUCAUCGGUGGAUGUAUGUUAUCUUUUUACAAAACGAGGACUGCAAUACUUUUCUGGCAAUGGGUGAAUCAGUCGUUUAACGCUAUUGUCAAUUACACGAAUCGUUCUGGCGACGCAAAACUUACUACUAAACAGAUAAUUACGUCAUACGUCGCGGCCUGCGGGGGUGCUCUGACCACUGCUCUAUACCUCAACAGUAAAGUUAAGGGCAUGAACCCACUGUACGCGCGGCUGGUACCGUUCGCGGCUGUCUGCGGCGCUAACUUCAUCAAUAUACCCUUGAUGAGGAGCAAUGAAAUCCUGCACGGCACGCCAGUAUACACGGCGGAUGGACAGCGCGUUGGUGACUCCAAGAUCGCGGCCAUGACAGGCAUUCUGCUCGUCUGUGUCUCAAGAGUCAGCAUGGUGGUACCUAGCAUGACGCUCGUGCCUCUAAUAACGAACACGGCAGUUCAAAGAGGUUGGUUCAGUAGCACGUCUCUAGCUGUGUUGCCAUUCCAAAUGUUACUGGUUUGUCUCACCAUAACAUUCGCAACGCCUAUGUGCUGUGCCUUCUUUGAUCAGAAAGCCUCCAUCAACAUCAAUAAGAUAGAGAACGAUAUAAGGGAAACGGCGCUAAAGAAAUUUCCUAAGACGAAUGUAUUGUAUUACAACAAGGGCCUGUGAUCAGAGACAGCGCAGCUACUUCCAUUGAACUGAAUUAUUGCACGGAACGCCCGUAUUUGCUCCGGAGGGGCAAAGAGUUGGGGAUUCCAAGAAAGCAGCUCGCAAGGGAAUCUUUCUAGUGUGCAUAUCCAGGGUGGCCAUGGCUCUUCCCGGCUUUAGAGGAGGCGCUUAAGAUCUCUCCCAAGACGGACACAGUUUACUUCAACAAGGGUCUGUAAGGUGCAGGUGCAAUGUUGAACCUUCCCAAUUGGGGUGGAUUCCCAGUGUACCUGUGCUGCUCGUCAGUCGUGUUGGUACCCAUUUUUCUACGAACCCUAGCGGGAGUCGAGAGGAAAACGUGGAAUGCUUUUAUGCUAAGCGACUCAACCUUCAUAAAAAUACUCCUUAUAAUGCAAGUUCUCCAGUGUUUACAGAUUGCUUCUUUUUAAUAGUUUGCCUUUUAGAGGAAAUAUGAUAACUAUUUUUAACAACGCGAUGUUCCGUUGCUAUUGCAACGUAUGCCCGUUGUGUUAACAAACACGGCUACACUUUAUUAUUGAAUACUGUGCGUUAGGCCCUCGCCUAUCAUAAAAAUCGGGCCGUUGUCCGUUCUCGUUAACUUCCCUUAAAACUAGAAUUUAAACUACAGAGGUAGAGGAAACAUACAGCCGAGUCAAAUGAGAGCUCAGAAACUUUAUUUGACCGUAUUGACAAAUGAUAAUCCAUCUACUCUUUUUUGCCAUCAAUGGAAGUGGACAAAAAUUGCAAUACAGUUCUUACGUACCUAUAGUUCGGGUCAGAGUUCGUAAUUUUGUAAGUUUUAAUGUUUUUAAUUUUUAAACCCCGAAGCAAAAAGAGGAGUGGUAAGAGCUUAACCUGUUUAUCUGUUGGGUCAUAGCUCCCGAACGGAUGAAGCGAUUUCAAUAUAGCUUUAAAAGUAAUUUAUGUCCGAGUGCUCUGAAACAUGUUUGAUGAAAAUAGGUUGAACCGUUGAAAAAUUAGGGCUGUAGGGAUGAAAGUGGGAAAUAUGUCCGAAUGUCUGAAUAAAUACUCGAAUGGGGUAUCAAAAGAAAGGUCAUCGGUCACCGUUCCCCUGUUUCACUCCCUACAACUCUCGAACGGCUAUAUCAAUUUUCAUCAAACAUGUCUUAUAAGUCAAAUCUUCUUUGAUACAAAAAAACUGAAUUGAAAUAAUACUUGCUUAGCCCGUUCGGGAGCUGCUACGCCACAAACGGACACGUAAAGCCUAUACCGCCCCUCUUUUUGCUCCGGUGGUUAAAAAUAAUAAAAUAUGUCUCGUUGGGGGACCGUGAAAACAAAACAUGAUUAGGUGCGGUCUCCCAACGUGACGUAUAUUUUUUAAUUUUUUAAGGUAAGUUUAAGGUUUUUGUGUCGGGGGUUUUAAAUUUUUUAAUUUAUGUACAGUGUUAUUUACUUCAAUGUUUUCAAAAAAAAAUGCUAAGAAUGGAUUUCACCAUUAGUCAAAUGAGGGAUUUGAGUUAUAACUAGAAUGGUGCAAUCCACCCUUAGUACACCAGAUUGUUUUAAUUUAUGAAUAAAUUAUCACGAUUGAGUCGAAAGUCUUUGUUGU